UUGAUCCUGGCUCAGAACGAACGCUGGCGGCGCGUUUUAAGCAUGCAAGUCGAACGGUACGCAUGGUGCUUGCACUGUGCUGAGAGUGGCGAACUGGUGAGUAACACGUAGGUGAUCUACCUUGAGGCCUGGGAUAGCCUGUGGAAACACAGGGUAAGACCGGAUGAGCCCCUGUACUUGCGGGUAGAGGGGGAAAGGUGCUAUGGCACCGCCUUAAGAUGAGCCUGCGUCCCAUUAGUUAGUUGGUGGGGUAAAGGCCUACCAAGGCGACGAUGGGUAGCCGGCCUGAGAGGGUGAUCGGCCACACUGGGACUGAGACACGGCCCAGACUCCUACGGGAGGCAGCAGCUAAGAAUCUUCCGCAAUGGACGAAAGUCUGACGGAGCGACGCCGCGUGAACGAAGAAGGCCGGAAGGUUGUAAAGUUCUUUUGCGGGUGAAGAAUAAGGCGAGGAGGGAAUGCCUCGCUGAUGACGUUAGCCUGUGAAUAAGCCCCGGCUAAUUACGUGCCAGCAGCCGCGGUAACACGUAAGGGGCGAGCGUUGUUCGGAAUUAUUGGGCGUAAAGGGCGUGUAGGCUGUUUUGUAAGCCUGGUGUGAAAGUGCACGGCUUAACUGUGUAUGUGCGCUGGGAACUGCAAGACUAGAGUCCGGAAGGGGGAGGUAGAAUUCCUGGUGUAGGGGUGAAAUCUGUAGAUAUCAGGAAGAAUACCGGUGGCGAAGGCGACCUCCUGGUCCUGGACUGACGCUGAGGCGCGAAAGCGUGGGGAGCGAACAGGAUUAGAUACCCUGGUAGUCCACGCUGUAAAC
This 808-nucleotide ribosomal RNA is filed under the name uncultured organism. RNAcentral describes it as "bacterial SSU rRNA". It matches the Rfam family "Bacterial small subunit ribosomal RNA", at positions 13 to 807 of the family's 1533-position model. The record is from RNAcentral.